GACUCAUUGCCCUUAACUUCUGCAUUGAUUACGGCUCUGACUAAUCGCCCCUAUGAAUCACCACCACUUGUGCGCACAGGUAGGCUUUAGGAGAUUUGGAAGCGUGGCUAUCAAUAAUAAUGUCAGUAACAGAAAUACGCUCCUGCACUGCGCUCCUCUAACAGGAAUAGAGACAAUUAUAGAUUCUUUAGCACAGCCCUGAUUACCAGGACUGCAGUGCUGUCAGCUGGGGCAGGGUUUUGCCCUCGUGCUCUGACAACACACAGAAGUUCAGAGCUGUUGUUGCCCUGCCUCACUAAGAGGAGACAGAACCUUGCUUAGAGCUGCUAUGUAAAUUCUGAUGAAUCACUGCAGCCCACAUGGUUUAUGAACCACCAGCACAUACCAGAAGUGGGCAGAGAUGAUUUUUUUUUUUUUUUUUUUUGUAGAAUUCAAUAAGAAAAGUAAGGUUGAAACAUCCUAUUAAUACAAAACUUGAGGCAGCUCUUACUCAUCUGGGUUUAGAUGCAGCUUUAUUUGGAACAGAGAGCCAGCAUCACCAUCACACUGUGCACUGCUGCCUCAGUAUCAUUUGUCAUGCCAAGUUUUGUUCCCAGUUUUUCAGUGCUGAGUCUGGCUAACUUGGCUGCCCCAGUGGAGCAGACAGUUAGCCAUUUAGGGCUUACCCAAGAGGACACUCCCAGAGGGCUUGCUUCUCCUUACGGUUGCACGUCUGAUAUUCUGCUCAGAGAGCACGAACACUGGUUCUCCUUUUGCUACAUGAGGACGGUUGUUUAUGGCAAGUUUACCUAUUUAUGAAAGUUUUGCUUCACUUGAGCAGCGAAAUACUGAUUCUGAUCUCCGCAUUUGUGCCAGGUGUUGGCUUUCAGCAAGGUUUAUUUGUUAUCCAAAUACUAUACCCCUGGUGCUGAGUGACUCCUGGCCUGGACAUGCACAUCCUGCUCCCAUUUCCAUUCAGCUGUGGCUCCUCUGCUCACCACGGUGGGAACACAAACUGGUUUGUAGUGGUGUAAGGGCUGCUUGCUUAAUGUUUCCGAACGUUCAUUUAAUACUGUUUUUCUAAGAUCAAGUGAGUUGGGCUCAGACAUGAAUGCAGAGGUUCCAGAAGGACAGACCUGGCAGACACAGAUUGCCAAGGUUUAUUCACAUCUUGGAUGGUCCUUUUUUUUUUCUGUAUGCAGUAGCUGUUGUACUACAGGUGGCCCUGUGGUGUUCGGAGUCCUGAGAGAAACCAGCCUGGGAGUGCUGUGAUUGCUCAGCCACUUGGGGUGAAGGCAGCCGUUGGAUUUUCCCCUGGAUCAGCUUUUGAACUGCAUUAAGGAGGAAGGAGCAGAAAGAAGGCAGCAGAAGGCCCCUCCUACAUUCCAGAUUAAUAGACCGGCUGGAGCGCUUUCAACCUGCGCGAUGCUUCUGUUGGCGGAUACGGCAGCGAAGGGCAGGGCGGUUCAGCACCAGGCUGUCAAAACAGCGUCACGUUACGGCCGUUCGGAAAACAAGUCUGCACAAAGGCGAGAUCGGUAAAUCUGCUCGGCAGUUGCCUGGUGCAGUAGGUGCUCAAAAGUUCACGACGGCUCCUAUUUUCCCAAAGCCCCCCCGGGAAAGGAGGGGGGGAGAAAGGGGGGGGGGAGGAGAGAUACCCUGCAGUUUCUAUGCGUGAUUCUGGCAAGCAGCCAGGGGCUUCGCUGACCUCCAAAACUGCUUUAGGAAUCAUUAAACGGGUCGGAGCGCACGGGUGGUGCACGCAGCUCAGGCACUCCACCUUUAGUUCCGAAACCCCCCGGUCAAGCACAGCGCUGGGUUCAUCCACUGCAACGCUCCACGAGCCUAUCGCAGAGGGCUGCACUGCGGCUCACUUACGGCUGCACGGCCGGGCCCUGCACUGCCACGGCCGGUCCCCGCGGAUCCUGUAUCAGCCGUGCGGCCAACACGGGCCGCUUCACGCACCUGUGCUGGGCAGGCUGCGAGGCCCGCUCCUUCCCGUGUCGCGAAGGCCCCACCGCCUCAUCUCGGGCCCGAGAAAGGUGGCUGCGCGCCGCCUCUCG
This is a long non-coding RNA of Gallus gallus (chicken), 2042 nucleotides long. Lineage: Eukaryota; Metazoa; Chordata; Aves; Galliformes; Phasianidae. The record is from Ensembl.